RNAcentral lists this ribosomal RNA (376 nucleotides) under uncultured bacterium. RNAcentral's name for it is "bacterial SSU rRNA". It matches the Rfam family "Bacterial small subunit ribosomal RNA", at positions 524 to 898 of the family's 1533-position model. The record is from RNAcentral.
UACGGAGGGUGCGAGCGUUGCUCGGAAUCACUGGGCGUAAAGCGUACGCAGGCGGAUCGUUAAGUCGGGUGUGAAAUCCCGGGGCUCAACCCCGGAACUGCAUUCGAAACUGGCGGUCUUGAGUACGGGAGAGGGAGGCGGAAUUCCUGGUGUAGAGGUGAAAUUCGUAGAUAUCAGGAGGAACACCGGUGGCGAAAGCGGCCUCCUGGCCCGAUACUGACGCUCAUGUACGAGAGCGUGGGGAGCAAACAGGAUUAGAUACCCUGGUAGUCCACGCUGUAAACGAUGAGUGCUAGCUGGUGGGAAUGUUUACCGUUUCACUGGCGAAGCUAACGCAUUAAGCACUCCGCCUGGGAAGUACGGCCGCAAGGCUAAA